Molecule: long non-coding RNA, 338 nt
Organism: Megalops cyprinoides (Indo-Pacific tarpon)
Lineage: Eukaryota; Metazoa; Chordata; Actinopteri; Elopiformes; Megalopidae
Exons: 3
Source: RefSeq, a predicted model, not a curated record
UAAGGGGGGUUGGGGUGACGACUGGUGCUGAGCUCAGCUGCUGAUGCCAGGAGUGGAGGGCUGAAGGUAAGGGAGCCGAGGAGCCACGCUCGCCGCACAGUCCUGCCCCUGCACACAGAGGAGGAGGGACAGACCGACGGACCGAGGGGGGACACGCAGACCCAUGUGGACAGACCGCCGGCAGAGACUCAGCCCUGGCCUGUUUCCACAGCCUUCAGUCACUGCUGUCCACCAGAGAGGCAGUCUCAUCACGAGCCACACUGAAGCACAGGCAGUCAGACCUCGCCACUGCAGAUCACACUACCCGCAGCCCAUUAGCAGGGGCCAGGGGCAAAUGU